RNAcentral lists this ribosomal RNA (407 nucleotides) under uncultured bacterium. RNAcentral describes it as "partial 16S ribosomal RNA". It matches the Rfam family "Bacterial small subunit ribosomal RNA", at positions 30 to 526 of the family's 1533-position model. The record is from RNAcentral.
AUUGAACGCUGGCGGCAGGCCUAACACAUGCAAGUCGAGCGGAGCGGCGGACGGGUGAGUAAUGCAUAGGAAUCUGCCUGGUAGUGGGGGAUAACGUCCGGAAACGGGCGCUAAUACCGCAUACUAUUAGAUGAGCCUAGGUCGGAUUAGCGAGUUGGUGGGGUAAAGGCCUACCAGGGCGACGAUCCGUAACUGGUCUGAGAGAAUGAUCAGUAAAACUGGAACUGUGAAACGGUCCAACCUCCUACGGGAGGCAGCAGUGGGGAAUAGUGGACAAUGGGCGAAAGCCUAAUCCAGCCAUGCCGCGUGUGUGAAGAAGGUCUUCGGAUGGUAAAGCCUGUUAAGUUGGGAGGCGUUACCAACAGAAUAAGCACCGGCUAACUGCGUGCCAGCAGCCGCGGUAAUUC